This 357-nucleotide unclassified non-coding RNA is filed under the name soil metagenome. RNAcentral describes it as "partial contains 5.8S ribosomal RNA, internal transcribed spacer 2, and large subunit ribosomal RNA". The stretch from base 1 to 120 matches the Rfam family "5.8S ribosomal RNA", at positions 35 to 154 of the family's 154-position model. The record is from RNAcentral.
GAUGAAGAACGUAGUGAAAUGCGAUAAGUAAUGUGAAUUGCAGAAUUCAGUGAAUCAUCGAAUCUUUGAACGCACAUUGCGCCCGUCAGUAUUCUGGCGGGCAUGCCUGUUCGAGCGUCAUUACGCCCCUCAAGUCCCCUGUGGACUUGGUGUUGGGGAUCGGCGAGGCUGGUUUUCCAGCACAGCCGUCCCUUAAAUUAAUUGGCGGUCUCGCCGUGGCCCUCCUCUGCGCAGUAGUAAAACACUCGCAACAGGAGCCCGGCGCGGUCCACUGCCGUAAAACCCCCCAACUUUUUAUAGUUGACCUCGAAUCAGGUAGGACUACCCGCUGAACUUAAGCAUAUCAUAAGCGGAGGA